UACGUAGGGAGCAAGCGUUGUCCGGAAUCAUUGGGCGUAAAGCGCGCGUAGGCGGCCUCAUAAGUCCGUUGUGAAAGUCAAAGGCUCAACCUUUGAAAGCCGAUGGAUACUGUGAGGCUAGAGUCCGGAAGAGGCGAGUGGAAUUCCUGGUGUAGCGGUGGAAUGCGCAGAUAUCAGGAGGAAUACCCAUAGCGAAGGCAGCUCGCUGGGACGUUACUGACGCUGAGGCGCGAAAGCGUGGGGAGCGAACAGG
Molecule: ribosomal RNA, 253 nt
Filed under: uncultured bacterium
Lineage: Bacteria
Description: partial 16S ribosomal RNA
Rfam family: Bacterial small subunit ribosomal RNA
Source: RNAcentral